This is a long non-coding RNA of Astatotilapia calliptera (eastern happy), 1071 nucleotides long. The record is from Ensembl. Lineage: Eukaryota; Metazoa; Chordata; Actinopteri; Cichliformes; Cichlidae.
CAGACAUGCCCUGUGAUGCUUUAAUAGCGCUGCCUGUGCUGAUCUGUGAUGCUGAGAAGUGUUUGUGGAUGAGAAAGCAGUAACAGAAGAGUAUGAAAGUAUAGAAACAACAAGCCAAGAGCCGCUGCGUUUAGAGACUUAUAAUAAUUAAUAAACGAAUAAACAUGAGGGUAUUUUUUGUUUUGUAUUGUCUUCCAUUUUUUUUUACCCCCCCCUUUCUUUUUCUUCUUUUCUUCCCCCUGUAUCAGAUGUGGAAAUCAGGCAUCCGUGAUUUGUUUUCCUCUUCUCAGAUUUUACUUUGUUCAUGAUUUCACUGCCUUUACUGCUGCCUCUAGCAUCGUUUCCCUCCUUUCUUUUUUUUUUUUUCUUUUUUUUACCUCCUGUCAUCAUGCUGCUGUUCGUAAAAUGUCGCACAUCUCAAGAGGAGCGUGUUUCCCUCCCCGGCUCCACCGAGAACCAGGAGGUGACAUUACUCCCGCCAUCUUCAUCUUUCGCCCUCGUCCUCAUUUAUCAACAGAAGCAUUAACAGAAAAUGUGAAUCCAUCUCUAGAUCUCAAAAUAAAAGUCCGACAGGAUAUCAAGCCCAUGACGCUUUGUAUAAUUUUCUGUGUAUGUGUGUAUAUUCUUCAGAUUGAAACUAUUAUUAUUAUUAUUAUUAUUAUUAUUAUUAUUAUUAUUAAUGCGAGAGGUUUGUUUUACAGCCAAAGCAUGUAACAUUGUUGCUUUAAGCCUUUCAAAUGGGCUACACACAAGACUUGACUGUACGAUGUCUACAUUUCCACAGUGGCCUGUUAUUGAUAUAAUAUUUAAAAAAACAAACAAAAAAAAGGAACUCAGUUAUAAUUUGUAGCCUGAUUCCCUCUGUACAGACAUCAUGACUAUAUUGAAAUAUAUGAAUACAUACAGUAUAUAUUUAACACAAACUUGAGUUGUGAUGAGUCGGGGCGUAGAGUAUGUACAAAAUGCUGAGUGUGUAUUGUACUUAUUGUUUCAUCUUUUUAAUGGUUUACUUUUGUUGCUUUAAGACGACUGUACAGUGAUGUAUUAAACUUUGCAAGCAUUACCAUAGAA